This 73-nucleotide transfer RNA is filed under the name Solirubrobacterales bacterium. RNAcentral describes it as "tRNA-Lys". It matches the Rfam family "tRNA". Rfam says of the family: Transfer RNA (tRNA) molecules are approximately 80 nucleotides in length. Their secondary structure includes four short double-helical elements and three loops (D, anti-codon, and T loops). Further hydrogen bonds mediate the characteristic L-shaped molecular structure. tRNAs have two regions of fundamental functional importance: the anti-codon, which is responsible for specific mRNA codon recognition, and the 3' end, to which the tRNAs corresponding amino acid is attached (by aminoacyl-tRNA synthetases). tRNAs cope with the degeneracy of the genetic code in two manners: having more than one tRNA (with a specific anti-codon) for a particular amino acid; and 'wobble' base-pairing, i.e. permitting non-standard base-pairing at the 3rd anti-codon position. Lineage: Bacteria; Bacillati; Actinomycetota; Thermoleophilia; Solirubrobacterales. RNAcentral also lists the same sequence under 1 other name. The record is from RNAcentral.
GCCCCCGUAGCUCAGUUGGUAGAGCAGCACGCUUUUAACGUGUCGCGCGUCGGUUCGAGCCCGACCGGGGGCA